Cynocephalus volans (Philippine flying lemur) is the source of this 5739-nucleotide long non-coding RNA. RefSeq lists it as uncharacterized. Lineage: Eukaryota; Metazoa; Chordata; Mammalia; Dermoptera; Cynocephalidae. The record is from RefSeq and is a predicted model, not a curated record. The transcript has 2 exons.
UCUCUAGCUAUUGGUUCUUUCUGCUGGAAUUCUGCUUACCAUGAGGGAACCUGCAUGCACAAUAAAGUCAAGAGGAGGUCCCCAGAGGAUUGGAUAGUUCCUGCCCACAUUGAGGACAGGUCUUUCCCACCUAGUCUACUCAGGCUCUCAUGCUAAUCUCUGCUUAACACACCCUCUUGGACACACCUAAAAAGAUAGCUUUACCAGGUUUCUCAGCAUUCCUUCAUUCCAAUCAAGUUGACACCUAGAAUUAACCUUCACAAUGCCUAACAAGAUCACCCUUGCUAAAUGCUGACACUGCAAUCCUAUAAAGAUGGAUUUUCAUCUGGCUCUGCCCUUCCCCCAACCACACACCCAACAGCUGCAAAGACAGUAUCGUCUUUGAAGAGUUGAAAGUUUACUUUCUUGGCCUAAACUAGACAACUGACCUGGAAGUCUAUAUUUUCAAAAAGAACACAUCUCCACAAGCUGAGAACUCCAUUUACUUCAAGACCUUUCUGAUUUCCAUUCUUUUUGGUUUAACAAUAAGUUCUGAAAUCUUCAGACUCAUAAUUAAUGUCUCAUUAAUUAAAAUGACAAACCCACUGGCAAUGUCAUCCUGAAUGAUGAAAAACUGAAAGCUUUUCAUUUGCAAACAGGAAUAAGACAAGGAUGCUCACUCUCACCAUUUCUAUUUAACAUAGUUUUGGAAGUACUUGCCAGAGCAAUUAGGCAAGAGAAAGAAACAAAGGGCAUCCAAAUUCAAAAACACAAAGUCAAAUGGCCAAUUUGCAGAUGACCUAAUCCUGUAUAUAGAAAAACCUGAACUCUACCAAAAAAACUCUUAGAGCUGAUCAGCAAAUUCACUAAGGUGGCAGGAUGCAAAAUCAAUAUAUAAAAAUCAGUAGCAUUUUUAUACUCUAACAAUGAACUAGCAGAAAAAGAAAUCAAGAAACCAAGCCCAUUUACAAUAGCUACCAAAAAUUAAAACACUUAGGUAUAAAUUUAAUCAAGGAGGUGAAAGACCUCUACAACAAGAACUAGAAAUCACUGCUGAAAGAAAUUGAAGAGGACACUGAAAGAUGGAAAGACAUCCCAUGUUCUGGACUGGAAGAAUUAACAUUAUGAAAAUGUCCAUACUAGCAAUCCACAGAUUCAAUGCAAUCCCCAUGAAAAUACCAAUGACUUUCUCACAGAAAUAGAAAAAACAAUUCUAAAAUUCAUAUGGAACAACAAAAAAGAUCCCAAAUAGCCAAAGCAAUCCUGAGCAAAAAGAAAAAUGAAGCCAGAGGCAUACACCACUUGACUUCAAAUUAUACCACAAAACUAUAGUAAGCAAAAUAGCAUGGUACUGGCAUAAAAACAGAUACACAGACCAAUGGAAGAAAAAAGAGAAUGCAGAAAUCAACCCACUUACUUAUAACCAACUGAUCUUUGACAAAGGCACCAACAACAUACACUGGUGAAAGGAUGGCCUUUUCAAUAAAUGGUGCUGGGAAAACUGGAUAUCCAUAUGUAGAAGAAUGAAAUUAGAUCCAUAUAUUUAGCCAAAUACUAAAAUCAACUCAAAAUGGAUUAAAGACUUAAAUAUAAGACCCAAAACUAUAAAACUCCUAGAAGAAAACAUAGGGGAAACAUUUCAGGAUGUAGGAUUUGGGGUCUUUAUGAAUAAGACCCCAAAAGCAAAGGGAACAAAAGAAAAAAAUAAAUGGGAUUAUAUCAAACUAAAAAGCUUCUGCACAGCAAAGGAAACAAUCAACAGUGAAAAGACAACCUAUAGAACGAGAGAAAAUAUUUGCAAACUAUACAUCUGACAAAGGAUUAACAUCCAGAAUAUAUAAGGAAUUCAAACAACUUAACAGUAAAAAAAAAAACAAAUAAUCCAACUAAAAAAUGAGCAAAGUAACUGAAUAGACAUUUCUCAAAGGAAGACAUAAAAACGGCCAACAGAUAUAUGAAAAAAAUGCUCAACAUCACUAAUCAUCAGGGAAAUGCAAAUCAAAACCACAUUGAGAUAUCAUCUCACCCCAGUUAGAGUGGCUAUUAUCAAAAAGACAGAGAAUAACAAAUGCUGGUGAGGAUGAGGAGAAAGGGGAACCUUUCUACACCAUUGGUGAGACUGUAAAUUAGUAAAGCCAUUAUGGAAAAAGGUAUGUCGAUUUCUGAAACAACUACAAAUAGAACUAUCAUAUGCUCCAGCAAUUCCCGCUACUGGGUGUAAACCCAAAGGAAUGGAAAUCAUCAAAGGGAUACCUGCACUCCCAUGUUUACUGCAGAUCUAUUUACAAUAACCAAGUUAUGGAACCAACCUAAAUAUCCAUCAACAGAUGACUGAAUAAGGAAAAUGUGGUAUAUAUGCACAAUGGAAUACUACUCUGCCACAAAAAAAAAAAAAAAAAAAAAAAAUGAAACUCUGCCAUUUCCACCAACAUGGAUGAGUUUGGAGAAAAUUAUGUUAAGUGAAAUAAGCCAGGCACAGAAAGAUAAUACCAUAUGUCUUCACUCAUAAGUGGGAGCUAAAAAAAGAAAGAAAGAAAGAAAGAACAAUCACAAUAACAUGUUGAACUUUCAGAAGGAGAGAACAGAACUGUGGUUACUAGAAGUGAGAAAGGGGCAGGCAGAGGGGGGCUAGUGAGAAAUUGGUUAAUGGGCAUAAAGAAUGAGUACGUUUUAUAAUGAUGAAUAUGCUAAUUAUCUUGAUUUGAUCACAUAUUGUACACAAGUAUUGACAGUCAACUCCAUACCCCACAAAUAUAUAUAAUGAAUUAUGUAUGUUUCAACUAAAAAAAUUAUACGUAAACCAAGAAAAUUAAGUGCCAAAGUUGAACUCAAAAUAGAGGCAGUUCUAGCAACAGCAACAAAAAAAAUCAAUUUGGCUAUUCCGAACAGGAUUCUUAGAUAAAAUCAACACUUUUGAAUUUCAAUGCUUAGCAAUUUUGAAUAAACUUUCUCAAAUAGCUUAGAUGAUUUGCUAGAGAUAUUUUCUUAAAACUUUCAAAUAAUGCAAAUCCAAAUAUGCAACAAGAAAAGCAUCAGCUUUAAGGGAAAUCACAAAGUUUUUAGCAACACAAUAUGCUUGUCACCUCCUUUGCAAUGUUUUUACCCUGAAAGGUAUAAUAAAACAGUAGUACUUCUUACACUGAGCACCAUAUGAAUGCUUAAUGUUAAAACCCCAAUUUCAAAAGAAUAAGAACCACAGCCAUAUCCCACCUACAUAAAACACCAGAUGAAAGACAUCUGGAAAAUUAUUGGGAUUUUAACACAGUUCUCCAAAAAGAUCUUGCUGCUCUGCACACAAAGUGCUACAUAUGCAUUAAUAAACCUGAUAAAAAUGUAAAUGAGUGACAUGCUAGGAGUGAAAUUUCUCUUUCAGAAAUUUUUUCAGUCCAGUAAAAUUCUCUUAAUCUAAAAAUGCAAACCUAGGUCAAACACUUUGUUAGAAUUUCAAAUAGUUUUUUCAAAAACGAAUCUACAUUUAAAAAUUCAUUUUAGUGUUAGGAUAGAAGACUCAGAUGAACACAGCAAUUCUCAGCAAGAACUAUUUUAGGUUAUGUACCUCCAAGAGUCUUGUCACCUCUCACGGAAUGCCACCACUUCAAAACUAGAAUUUGGCAACUGUUUUUAAAAGAUGUUCACAGCUAUUGAAGAUGAUCAGCCUUCUGGAAAAAUAAUCAUGGCUCCUUUUAACUUCUACCACUAACAUAGUAUGUGCUCAAUAAAUGCUGAAUUGAAUGGCAUUUAGCAUGUCAAGCAUGACAAGUGAAAAGAGACAGCCAAGCUGUUUAAGACCAAAAAUGAAAGGUAUCUGGGAUAGAUGCUAUUUUUUUAAAGUAGAAAUAAAUAGAACCAUGACUGACGUGCUCACUUUAUUAACUCCUUAUGACUAUUUCUUAUUGAAGAAUUUAUAAAUUCUUUUAGCCUAUUAAAUCAUUACAUCUCACAGUAAUAACAUUAGAGAGUUGGCACUUGUUUUCACGCUGUAACAGAAAACAUGAUCAAAAGGUCAAGUGAUCACAUGUGUAAGAGCCACAGUUUAAACCCAGACUUCCUGACUCUAAAACCAGCAUUGUUGCCAUGCAUCACACUGGUCAAAGUUAACUGAGUGGGUUCAGAUGCCUGUCAGGGGUUUGCAAACCUGCAGCAUUUCAGCAGGUCUGUCUUGCAACCUAGACCCCCUGUCUUACUCCACUCAGGGUGCUAUCACAAAACACCUUAAAAUGGAUAACUUUUAGAUGACAGAAAUUUAUUUUUCACAUUUCUGGAGGCUGGGAAGUCCCAGAUCCAGGCACCACAAAUUGAAUGACUAGUGAGGGCCCUCUUCCUCAUAGUUGGUGCCUUCUACCUGUGUCCUCACAUGGUGGAAUGAACAAACAAGCUUCCUUGGGCCUUUAUUACAAGGGCUCCAUUCAUAGGGACUCUGCCCUUGUGAUCUAAUCACGUCCCAAAAGGCCCCACUUAUUAAUACCAUAACCUUGGGGGUUGGGUUUUCAACAUACAAAUUUUGGGGAUACACAAACAUUCAGACCAUAGCAGCCCCCAAGCCAAAUCAGACCAGUAAAGGCAAAUACUGAUGCUAAAAAGUAUUAUCUUGAUUAGCACAGAGGGACCAUAAUCAGCUUUCAUCACAUUUCAAGUGUUAUCAUUGGCAAGUGACAUUCACUGCACGAAGUCUGGAGUGUGUAUGCCAUCCUGCACAGGCACACUUUAGAUGAAAAAAGCAAUCACCGUAACUCCACUAACGAAAAGCUGUUUUCACACCAAGGGAAAGAAAUGAUAUGUUUUCCAACGCAAGAAGAAAGGUUUUUGAGCACAGGUCUUAGUUUGAAGCUAAACCCAAGUGGGGAAAAACAAAUACGGUUUUCAUGAAAUUUCCAACCCAUCUUACUAAGACCAAUUUUACCUGCCUACUUGUCCUGCAAGCUUCUCAAGCCCCUUCUUAUCUCGCAGCCUCAUUGAGACAUGGUUUUACCCUCCCUGCACACGCCCAUUGACUUGAGAGACAUAAAAGCAAGACCACUCUCUAAAAAAGCUCCUCUGAGUCUGACACAGGGUCUGCAAUUCCUCCACUAGUAUUAGACAACUCUUCAGGUUCUCAGGAGCUCCUUAGUAAGAAGCACCCUAGAGAGCAAGCUUCCUUAGGGGUUACCAACUUGUUGGUGAUGAGUAAGGAUGUUAACCCUACAUGCUGAUGUGUAACAUUGAGCCAUUUUCCUCAUCUGUAAAAUAAAGGUGUUGCAUCAAUCUCUAUGGUUCUUCUUGUCCUAACAUUAUAAGAAUGCUUCCAGAAAUAACAUAAAUGAUCAGAAAUAACAUAAGUGAUUAUUAUUUUUAGCACUUACUACAGGGCAGGGACUGCACUGAACACUUUAUUCACAUUAUUUUAUUUAAUCCUUAAUAAUACCCCACGCCCAGGUAGAAACUCUUAAUAUUUUCAGAUGAGAAAAGUGAGAAUUAGAGAGCUUGAGCAGUAGAACCUCUCUCAUCGAACUUUUACUUAAUCAUACCAGCUCUUUAACUGACUAAUUCAUUUUGUAAAACUACACUAUGAUGAAUGACCUCAGCUGGAUAAAUGCCGGUAGCUGGUAGCCUCCUGUCUGUUAGACACAGUCUGCAUAAGGUUUCCCCCAGCAAAGUUGUGCACGUCCCAAAAGUUACCUGUUUUUGUUCCCAAACUUGUUUAUGCCAGUUAUACUUUUUACUUGAUUAAGCCAGUCACUGCAAUAAUGUAAUUUAAUAAAAAUAGUGCAUAAACCAAUGAAA